This 253-nucleotide ribosomal RNA is filed under the name uncultured bacterium. RNAcentral describes it as "partial 16S ribosomal RNA". It matches the Rfam family "Bacterial small subunit ribosomal RNA", at positions 524 to 776 of the family's 1533-position model. The record is from RNAcentral.
UACGGAGGGUGCGAGCGUUAAUCGGAAUUACUGCGCGUAAAGCGCACGUAGGCGGUCGGAUAAGUCGGAUGUGAAAGCCCUGGGCUUAACCUGGGAACUGCAUUCGAUACUGUCUGGUUAGAGUAUGGGAGAGGGAAGCAGAAUUUCCGGUGUAGCGGUGAAAUGCGUAGAUAUCGGAAGGAAUACCAAUGGCGAAGGCAGCUUCCUGGCCCAAUACUGGCGCUCAGGUGCGAAAGCGUGGGGAUCAAACAGG